GAUGAACGCUAGCGAUAGGCUUAACACAUGCAAGUCGAGGGGCAGCAUGGUCUUAGCUUGCUAAGACUGAUGGCGACCGGCGCACGGGUGCGUAACGCGUAUGCAACUUGCCUCACAGAGGGGGAUGACCCGUCGAAAGACGGACUAAUACCGCGUACACUCCAUCUUGGGCAUCCAAGGUAGAGGAAAUGAAAUUCGCUGUGAGAUAGGCAUGCGUCCCAUUAGCUAGUUGGUGAGGUAACGGCUCACCAAGGCGACGAUGGGUAGGGGAACUGAGAGGUUGAACCCCCACACUGGUACUGAGACACGGACCAGACUACUACGGGAGGCAGCAGUGAGGAAUAUUGGUCAAUGGGCGAGAGCCUGAACCAGCCAAGUCGCGUGAAGGAUGACUGUCUUAUGGAUUGUAAACUUCUUUUAUACGGGAAUAACAAGAGUCACGUGUGACUCCCUGCAUGUACCGUAUGAAUAAGCAUCGGCUAACUCCGUG
This 490-nucleotide ribosomal RNA is filed under the name uncultured bacterium. RNAcentral describes it as "partial 16S ribosomal RNA". It matches the Rfam family "Bacterial small subunit ribosomal RNA", at positions 28 to 507 of the family's 1533-position model. The record is from RNAcentral.